RNAcentral lists this ribosomal RNA (373 nucleotides) under uncultured organism. RNAcentral describes it as "partial 16S ribosomal RNA". It matches the Rfam family "Bacterial small subunit ribosomal RNA", at positions 527 to 896 of the family's 1533-position model. The record is from RNAcentral.
GUAGGUGGCAAGCGUUGUCCGGAAUUAUUGGGCGUAAAGCGCGCGCAGGCGGUCCUUUAAGUCUGAUGUGAAAGCCCACGGCUCAAUCGUGGAGGGUCAUUGGAAACUGGGGGACUUGAGUACAGAAGAGGAAAGCGGAAUUCCAAGUGUAGCGGUGAAAUGCGUAGAGAUUUGGAGGAACACCAGUGGCGAAGGCGGCUUUUCUGGUCUGUAACUGACGCUGAGGCGCGAAAGCGUGGGGAGCAAACAGGGAUUAGAUACCCUGGUAGUCCACGCCGUAAACGAUGAGUGCUAAGUGUUAGGGGGUUUCCGCCCCCUUAGUGCUGCAGCUAACGCAUUAAGCACUCCGCCUGGGAGUACGGCCGCAAGGCUG